This 134-nucleotide transfer RNA is filed under the name Nemania serpens. RNAcentral's name for it is "tRNA-Lys". It matches the Rfam family "tRNA". From Rfam's summary of the family: Transfer RNA (tRNA) molecules are approximately 80 nucleotides in length. Their secondary structure includes four short double-helical elements and three loops (D, anti-codon, and T loops). Further hydrogen bonds mediate the characteristic L-shaped molecular structure. tRNAs have two regions of fundamental functional importance: the anti-codon, which is responsible for specific mRNA codon recognition, and the 3' end, to which the tRNAs corresponding amino acid is attached (by aminoacyl-tRNA synthetases). tRNAs cope with the degeneracy of the genetic code in two manners: having more than one tRNA (with a specific anti-codon) for a particular amino acid; and 'wobble' base-pairing, i.e. permitting non-standard base-pairing at the 3rd anti-codon position. Lineage: Eukaryota; Fungi; Ascomycota; Sordariomycetes; Xylariales; Xylariaceae. The record is from RNAcentral.
GCCCGGUUAGCUCAAUCGGUAGAGCGUGAGACUCUUAAUCUCAAGGUUGCGGGUGAGUGAAGAUUCCAAUUGUACGAUCUGCUCUACCUGUCAUACUGACUCUCAUACCACAGGUUCGACCCCCGCAUCGGGCU